RNAcentral lists this ribosomal RNA (412 nucleotides) under uncultured bacterium. RNAcentral's name for it is "bacterial SSU rRNA". It matches the Rfam family "Bacterial small subunit ribosomal RNA", at positions 32 to 422 of the family's 1533-position model. The record is from RNAcentral.
AAUCAACGCUGGCGGCGUGCCUCAGACAUGCAAGUCGAACGCGAAAGGUUCCUUCGGGGACCGAGUAGAGUGGCGCACGGGUGAGUAACACGUAGGUAAUUUGCCUUUGGGUGGGGAAUAACUCAGGGAAACUUGAGCUAAUACCGCAUAAUGCAGCGGCUCGACAUCGAGACAGUUGUUAAAGCGGGGGAUUCGCAAGAACCUCGCGCCUAAAGAGAAGCCUGCGGCAGAUAGCUAGUUGGUAAGGUAAUGGCUUACCAAGGCGACGAUCUGUAACCGGCCUGAGAGGGCGGUCGGUCACACUGACACUGACAUACGGGUCAGACUCCUACGGGAGGCAGCAGUCGGGAAUUUUGGGCAAUGGGCGAAAGCCUGACCCAGCAACGCCGCGUGAAGGAUGAAAUUUUCGGAA